GCCGAAGUGGCGGAAUUGGCAGACGCGCACGACUCAAAAUCGUGUGGCCGUGAGGCCGUGUGGGUUCAACUCCCACCUUCGGCACCA
RNAcentral lists this transfer RNA (87 nucleotides) under bacterium. Its description in RNAcentral is "tRNA-Leu". It matches the Rfam family "tRNA". Rfam says of the family: Transfer RNA (tRNA) molecules are approximately 80 nucleotides in length. Their secondary structure includes four short double-helical elements and three loops (D, anti-codon, and T loops). The record is from RNAcentral. RNAcentral also lists the same sequence under 1 other name.